AUGAUAGCUGCUGAUUUCAAUGAGAUCUUGUACUCCCAUGAAAAGGAGGGUGGCGCGCCGAGGCCAAUGCACAUGAUGCAGAAUUUUCGAGAUGCCCUUGUUGAUUGCGAGCUGGAGGAUAUGGGAUGCAGCGGGGAUCUAUAUACUUGGAGGAGGAGGAGACUCAGAGAAUGGCUUGACAGGUCGGUGUGCAAUGGCCAGUUCCGAGGACUCUUUCCUAACACAAAGGUCACAAAUACCGCACAUAUAAAGUUGGAUCACAUACCCCUAUUCAUUGAUACUGAGGGAGAUGUGCAGGUGGAUUCCCAACAAACCCAUCGAAAGUGUUUUGAGUCCAGGUGGCUGCAAGAAGGGAACAUUAUGCAAUUAGUGUCUAAAGCUUGGGAACGAUCAGAUCCAACGGCGCCAAUUGCAGAACGAACAGCUGAGUGUUAA
This 435-nucleotide ribosomal RNA is filed under the name Triticum aestivum (bread wheat). RNAcentral's name for it is "partial small subunit ribosomal RNA". Lineage: Eukaryota; Viridiplantae; Streptophyta; Magnoliopsida; Poales; Poaceae. The record is from RNAcentral.